AAAAAUCUAUUUCACAAACACACCUAUAAACAACGAAGAGUGAGUGGUAAAGAAAUAUAAAAAUAAAACACACAUGUAUAACAAGACCAUCGCUAGUAUUUUUAGAAUUUUUUAUAAUGACAUAGAUAGGCAUAUCUCAUGUAUCAACAUAUUAAAUAAUGUGUACGUUUAAUUUCUAGAAACUCAUUAUAACUUAAACACAUAUCCGUAAGAAAAAUUAGACAUCAAGUACGGGCAUAUUAAUGCAUAUAAAUAGAUAUUUCACAUUCACAACUAGAGUUCGGUUCAAUUUGUUGCAAAUGACAUCAUAAAUUUAACUAGAAACAUUCUGUUAGCAUUCUAACCUGACACGUAUGUUCAUUAUGAUGAACUAACACACAAGUCGCACAUAAACAUUUUAGUCACACAAACAUUUUGUUGAACAAGUAACUUCACACACCCGAACGGGAAAAGGCGUAAAUGUUUGAUAUUAAUAAGAAUAUCUAGAGUUUGAAUAUGUACACUUUUCAAUGAAAACCACAGGGUAUCUGAUCAUAACGGUUGAUAUAAAUCAUUCAUUCAUUUAUUAAAUUUACACGUCAUUUUAGUAUUUUUUGUAGGUCAUCUUGCAAUUCGAGAUUGUCUUGGUGUAAAGGUACUUUCCGACAUCUGUGGUGAGUAGACUACUGAGUGCAACACUUGUAAUCUGGUACCUCCAAUAUAUUACUUGUCCACUUAAUAAUUGGUUCAUGGAAGAAACAAUUUACCUAUAAUCUUCUUGGGCAAAUUAUUUUUUUUGGGAAACAUUUUUUUUUGAAAAAUAAAUUAUUUAUUUUAUCAAAUCUAGUUUAUGUCAAAGGUUUUUUGGUAUGGGCCCGCAUCGCUUCAUCUGCAUCUCUCAAAUUAAAAUUAAAUCUAAAUUUAAACUUAUUACAUAGUUUUGUGGUGGUAACAUGGAAUUAUUGUUUAACAUUUGGCUUAUAUAUGUAAUUGUAUAUUUCAAUUAUGUAGAAUUUUUGUUUAAAUCCAUGUAAGUACUUGGUGUCAGUCCUUACAUUUUUUUUUGUUUAUCUUGUUAUUUUAUUUUAAUGUUUGUAAUAUAUUUAGUAUUUGAUUUUAUUCUUUUAAGUCAAUAAUAUAAAAAUUUCACAUGAUACAAUGCUAAUUUCAAAAACAAGUCUAAAAUAAAAUCGAAGAAUAUUUGAUAGAUCCAAAGCAAAAACCUCAAAAAUAACCGUGACUAAAAACAAAUUGUAAAAUAUUUGCUAGGACAAUAUAUAUAUUUAAACUGUAAAAUUUUAAUAUAAUAUAUAGUUUCUUUAAAUAUGAUAUUAAAUAUCAAAGUGUUUAAUUUAUUUUCAAUUUUAUGUUAUAUCCUAAGUUUAUAAUGGUGUUCGAAUCACCAAGUAACAACUCUAAAUACGCAUUUCAUUGACAUGUAAACAAAUAUUUUUGAGGGUGAGUGGUAAAUUAUUUUGAAAGUUAAAGUAAACAUAUGAAUAUCAUCUUCCAUGUUUACAUAGCUUUUCAUAUUGGAAGAUAUAAGACUUGUCGUGUAUCAACAUACACAACGGUUACUACAUUAAGUAAUUAGAUAAACAUUAACACGUUAUUACACUUCAACAAACAAUCAUAUGAUAAUAUUUAGCGAGUUUACGGCACAUAUACAAAAUUUAAUGCACUUUUACAAUUAGAAAUCUAUCCCUAUUUUUUCAAGUCACGAAACAUGUUCAACAAACUAGUUAUCUCUAAGAAGUAUUAUAACAUGAUAUUUAUGGUCAUCAUGAUAUUAGGAAACACAUGUCACACAUACAGUUGCGAGUCACACGUACAUUUUAUUUAUUAACCGACUCCAAAUACAAAAAAAUGAAGUGAUAGAUAGUAAUUAUAUUAAUAUCUAUAUUUUUAAUCUCAAAUAACUUAUUCCUUACUAAUUAAUUAUGUCUUGCAUUUCAUGCACUAUUUUGAUUUGUAACAUGUUUUUUGAAUAAAAACAAAAUUAUAUUUGAAAAUUCUAUCAGAGCCUGGUUUCGAUCCAGGGACCUGUGGGUUAUGGGCCCACCACGCUUCCGCUGCGCCACUCUGAUUAACGUUUAAUUCAAUAAUUUCAUCUAAUAAAUAUAUUAUGCGUUGGUGAUAUCAAAUGAUAAAUUUCAUUUGGUAAAGAGUUCAUGUCCAAAUAACAACGAGCAAUAAACCAUUUAUCAUAUUUUCACCUUUAUGCUUGCUACACAUCAUACCAAUGCUAGAAUAACCAACAACUAACUUAAAAAAAUCUAUUUCACAAACACACCUAUAAACAACGAAGAGUGAGUGGUAAAGAAAUACAAAAAAUAAAACACACAUGUAUAAGAAGAUCAUCGCUAGUAUUUGUAGAAUUUUUUAUAAUGACAUAGAUACGCAUAUCUCAUGUAUCAACAUAUUAAAUAAUGUGUACGUUUAAUUUCUAGAAACUCAUUAUAACUUAAACACAUAUCCGUAAGAA
Molecule: long non-coding RNA, 2464 nt
Filed under: Lathyrus oleraceus (garden pea)
Lineage: Eukaryota; Viridiplantae; Streptophyta; Magnoliopsida; Fabales; Fabaceae
Description: Pisum sativum (pea) long non-coding RNA (PSAT_LNC040553)
Source: RNAcentral